CCUCCGUAAGGGGACUGCGGAGGGAUCAUUACCGAGUUUACAACUCCCAAACCCCUGUGAACAUACCACUUGUUGCCUCGGCGGAUCAGCCCGCUCCCGGUAAAACGGGACGGCCCGCCAGAGGACCCCUAAACUCUGUUUCUAUAUGUAACUUCUGAGUAAAACCAUAAAUAAAUCAAAACUUUCAACAACGGAUCUCUUGGUUCUGGCAUCGAUGAAGAACGCAGCAAAAUGCGAUAAGUAAUGUGAAUUGCAGAAUUCAGUGAAUCAUCGAAUCUUUGAACGCACAUUGCGCCCGCCAGUAUUCUGGCGGGCAUGCCUGUUCGAGCGUCAUUUCAACCCUCAAGCACAGCUUGGUGUUGGGACUCGCGUUAAUUCGCGUUCCUCAAAUUGAUUGGCGGUCACGUCGAGCUUCCAUAGCGUAGUAGUAAAACCCUCGUUACUGGUAUCGUCGCGGCCACGCCGUUAAACCCCAACUUCUGAAUGUGACCUCGGAUCAGGUAGGAUGCCCGAGU
Molecule: ribosomal RNA, 515 nt
Filed under: Fusarium oxysporum
Lineage: Eukaryota; Fungi; Ascomycota; Sordariomycetes; Hypocreales; Nectriaceae
Description: eukaryotic LSU rRNA
Rfam family: 5.8S ribosomal RNA (bases 180-333)
Source: RNAcentral